This 5058-nucleotide long non-coding RNA is filed under the name Taeniopygia guttata (zebra finch). RNAcentral's name for it is "lncRNA (ENSTGUG00000027057.1)". The record is from RNAcentral. Lineage: Eukaryota; Metazoa; Chordata; Aves; Passeriformes; Estrildidae.
GCUUUUUUCUCCCCCCCAGGGAGAUGCGCCGUGUCUCCAUCAUCUGGCGCUGCAGGAUCGCAUCCUGCCUCUUUGACCUACUCAGCCAAGACAUUUCAGACUGGGAACUGCCCGCCCUGACGUUCCUGGUGGAGGUCCUGGACUGCCUGGACUUGAGUGAAUGCGGUGAAAAGGUCCUGCAGAUCAUGACAAGGCACCUGAAGAGACGGUCCAGAGAGAUGCGUCGCGUGGCGCUCAGAGGCCUCGUGGUGCUCAGCCAGGACCCCUCGAUGAACCAAAGAAUGUACAGCCUGACUGAAAGCCUUGGCAACCUCCUGCGGGCCGUGGAUGAAGACAUUGUUGAGAUGACCGUCGUUGUUCUCAGCUCUCUGCUCUUCAACAAAGAGAUAGCAAUAGCCAGCCCCAUCGCCCUGCAGCUGGCUGAGGCGCUCUGGCAACUCUUCGACAAUGACAACAGCCUUGUGAAGCUGCUCUCCGUUCGCCUCUUCCAAGAGGUGAUGAACUUGGUGGUGGCCAAGGGAAAAAAGCCCCUGAAGAAGCAUGUGAGGCAGAGCCUGCUCCCACUCUUCUUCAACUGCCACGAUGAGAACUGGGGUGUGGCACAGGCCUCUCGGGAAACGCUGCUUUCUGCAGUAAGGUUCCUGAAGAGAAGGGAUCUUCAGCACCUGGUGAACACAGAUCAGAUGUGGAGCUUUGCCGAGCGCUUGCUGGCAGAGGACAGGAGCCGAGCGGCCGAGCACCUGCGCCGGGCCCUGCCCUACCUGCAGAGCCCACAGGAGCCCCUGCGAGAGGCGGCCGUCAGGUUCAUGGGGAUCGCCGGGCGCUGCCUGAGAGGACAGCAGCAAGAGUUCCGGAUCCUCUGCAGGGCCCUUCAGGACAUGGCGAAUGACGCCAGCCCCGCCAUCUCAUGCCUGGCCCUUCAAACUCAUUACAUCAAUUUAGCUGUGCAGGCCAUUCCCUCCUCCCGACUCCAGAAUGUGCAAGAUCAACUCUGCCGGCUCUGGAAGUCACGGCCUUUCCCGUGUCGCCGGGGCUGGCUGUCCUGCUGCAGCGCUGUGGAGAACUGUUCCGCCAGGCUGCGUCUGCUGGGGCCACCUGAGCCUGCGGGGACCAACCCCUUCUGAAAGCACUUCCUUUCACCCCAGGAUAGCAUUAAUAAAUUGCUGUUGUCAUACCCGGAGGUCCAGGAGCUUUCUCUUGGUGCCCAGAUUCUUCAGGCCAAUGGGGAGGAGUGGAAAAAGGGCGCUUGCACUUGGCAAGUUGCCCAAGUAUGCGGUGGGCAAGGGAAAGUGGCCAGAAGCCCCUUGGCCUUUGGUGGUGCUGCUGAACGUUUUUCUUCCUGCUUCAAGUCUUCUGGAGCUGUGGGAACAAGUGUGUUCUGUGUCCGUGGAACAGCAGAAAGCGGCAGGAUGUGUCUGCUUCCAGUGCUUCUCUUGGCUCUUCCUUCACACUGCUGGCCCCGUCAUCAGGGACACAGAACGGCUUCUCUCAUGCCAGCGUUAUCCCAGUCUUCUGCAUUUCCCCAGGUUCCUCCCAGCUUCACCAGGGAAAUUCUCUGCUCGUGCCUGUCCAUUCCCUUGCCCAGAAGGCAGCACCCGCUUGUCUUUGGACAUGAGCUGCUGGCCACAGCCAGCCAGGCAGCAACCGGAGCAUUGGGCAUCAGAUGCUGGGCUGAUGUUCUUUCCCAGAAAGCAAGAAAAACAGAAGGACACAAGGGAACUUGACAGUAUCUCUGUAAGAAUGUCAUUGUCCUCUGGAAGUCAACAGUGGAUGGUGUUUUUGUGCUGCAGAUUAUCACUUCCAAGCAAAAAUCAUUCUAGGAAGGAGCAACAGCUUUUGACAGCUACCAAGUGUGGCUACCAAGUGCUGCUCCAGGUGCUCCUGCCUGCAGCCACCUGCAGAAAGGAUCCCAUAGACACCAAGGCACGUUGGCUUUGGCUGUCCUCUGGCACACAAGUCCAGCUUCGGCAAUAGGACAAUUAGGGAACAGCAUGUUAAUUUCAGGAGCACAAUUAGAGAACAUCAUGUUAAAAUUAAUGAGGACAAUUAGAGAGCACUGUGUUAAUUUCAGGAGGACGAUUAGAGAACAGCACGUUAAAUUCAGGAGGACAAUUAGAGAACACCACAUUAAAUAUAACAAAGACGAUUAGAGAUCACCAUGUUAAUUUCAGGAGGACAAUUAGAGAAUAGCAUGUUAAAAAUAACGAGGACUAUUAGAGACUACCAUGUUAAUUUAACAAAGACAAUUAGAGAACACCAUGUUAAUUUCAGGAGCACAAUUAGAGAACACAAUGUUAAUUUCAGGAGGACAAUUAAGGAACACCAUGUUAAAUAUAACAAAGACAAUUAGAGAUCACCAUGUUAAUUUCAGGAGGACAAUUAGAGAAUAGCAUGUUACAAUUAAGGAGCACAAUUAGAGAAUACCAUGUUAAUUUAAGGAGGUCAAUUAGAGAACGCCAUGUUAAUUUAACGAAGACAAUUAGAGAAUACCAUGGUAAUUUAAGGAGGACAAUUAGAGAAUAUGAUGUUAAAAAUAAUGAGGACUAUUAGAGAAUACCAUGUUAAUUUAGUGAGUACAGUUAGAGAAUACCAUGUGAAUUUCAGGAGGACAAUUAGAGAACGCCAUGUUAAGAUUAACAAGGACAGUUAGGGAACACCAUCUUAAUUUCAGGAGCACAAUUAGAGAUCACCGUGUUAAUUUCAGGAGGACAUACUAAAAUGCCAUCAGAGGCUGUGAGACAGCAGGGUGGGGACACAAGAAUAGAUAAAAAAAAAUAAAACAAAGCAAAAUAAAUAAAAUAAUAAAAUUUAAAAAAUAAAGUAAAAUAAAAUAAAAUAAAAUAUAAAAAUGAAAUAAUAAAUCCUGACCCUCAGGAUGUCUCUGAGCCAGAGAGUGAAGGGGUCAGGCGAAGGAGCUCCCAAAACAUCAGAAAUUUGAAAGAAUGUUUGAAUAGUGUGAAAAUCCCCGAUAUAUGAUUGGCGUUUGGCAAAUAUUAAAAUGAAUACUGAAUGCGAUAUGUGUUAUGUUGGAAAGAUAUGCAGUAUUAAUCUCUUAAAUUUGGCUGUAUUAACAUUUUUUAAAUUUGGCUGUAUUAAUCUCUUUUUCAUUUUAAUAGUGCUGUAUUAAUCUCUUUUAAGUUUUGCUGUAUUAAUGUCUUAAAUUUGGCGAUAUUAAUGUCUUACAUUUUUCCUUUAUUAAUCUCUUUUAAGUUAAGUUUUUCCUGUAUUAAUCUCUUUUGUUUUGCUGUAUUAAUCUCUUAAAUUUGGCUGUAUUAAUCUCUUUUAUUAACCUCUUUAACAUUUUUCUUGUAUUAAUCUCUUUUAAAUUUUUCCUGUAUUAAUCUCUUUUAAAUAGUGCUGUAUUAAUUCUUAAAUUUGGCUGUAUUAAUCUCGUUUAAGUUUUCUUGUAUUAAUUUCUUUUAAAUUUUUCCUGUAUAAAUCUCUUUUUAAGUUUUGCUGUUUUAAUCUCUUUUCAGUUUUUCCUGUAUUAAACUCUUAAAUUUGGCUUUAUUAAUAUCUUUUAAAUUUUUCCUGUAUUAAUAUAUUUUGAGUUUUGCUGCAUUAAUCUCUUUUAAAUUUUGCAGUAUUAGUCCCUUUUAAAUAGUGUCGUAUUAAAUUAAGUCUCUUAAAUUUUGCUGCAUUAAUUUUGUUUAAAUUUUUCCUGUAUUAAUCUCUUCUAAAUUUUUCCUGUAUUCAUCUUAAGUUUUCCUAUAUUAAUCUCUUUUAAAUUUUUCCUGUAUUAAUCUCUUUUAAGCUUCCCUGUAUUAAUCUCUUUUCAGUUUUCCAUAUUAAUAUCUUUUAAGUUUUUCCUCUAUUAAUCUCAUUUAAUUAUUCCUGUAUUAAUAUUUUAAAUUUUUCCUGCAUUCAUCUCUUUUAAGUUUGUCCUGUAUUAAUCUCUUUUCAGUUUUCCUGUAUUAAUAUAUUUUAAGUUUUUCCUGCAUUAAUCUCUUUUAAUUUUUUCCUGUAUUAAUCUCUUCUAAAUUUUUCCUGUAUUAAUCUCUUUUAAGUUUUGCUGCAUUAAUCUCAUUUAAAUUCUUCCUGUGUUAAUCUCUUUUAAGUUUUUCCUGUACUAAUCUCGUUUAAUUAUUCCUGUAUUAAUCUUUUCAAUUUUCCCUGCAUUCAUCUCUUUUAAAUUUUUUCUGUAUUAAUCUCAUUUCAGUUUUUCCGUAUUAAUCUCUCUUAAAUUUUUCCUGUAUUCAUCUCUUUUCAGCAGUGUGGCACACACACUUUUUAGCCUAGAGCACAAUAUUAAAAGAACAGCAACAGACACCAAAAUCAAAAAAAAAAACAAACCAUUAUUGCCUCCUUCUGUGGAAAUCUCAGAUUUUCAAAGAUUGAUUUACAAGAUGGGGGGGAAAGCUAAAAUUUAAACUCCUAAAAUUUCAACACAACGAGUUUUUCACAAAUAACGAAAUCAUGAAUAUGCACGCGCCUCAGCGAUGUCACCCCGCUGGAAUUACUCUCCUUUUUUUAUCCUAUUGCCAUUAUUAUUAUUAUUAAACUUUAAAAACUCCAAACCGUGAAUUCUGUUCCUCGCACUUUCAGACCCAAACUCCCUUACUUUGAACCCAAACUCACUUUUUCACCCCAAAAUCUUCCCCCUGCCUCCCUGGGUUGACUUUUGAAGGUCGGACUCCCGUUUUUUUUUAAAUCCAGAUUCUACUUUUUAGGUCCAAACUGCUCAAUUUUAGUGCUCAAACCCCAAACUAUGGCCCAAAUUCCCCAUUUUUGGACCCAAACUCCCCCUUUUGGGGUCCAGACUUCCCAUCUAGGCACCCAAAUUCCCCUUUUUGGGGCACAAAUUCCCGAUUUUUUUGGUCGAAAUUCUCCCUUUUUGAAACCAAAUCCCCCUUUUUCGGUCCAAAUUUCCCCCUUUUCUUGCUCAAAUCCCCUUUUUUGGGCCCAAAUUCUCUCUUUUUGGACCCGAAUGCGCCUUUUGAGCCCAAACUUUCCCUUCCUGGACACAGAUUCCUCCUUUUUGGGCCCAAAUUCCCCUUUUAAGACCCAAAUUCCAUAUUUUUUUUUUUUACCCAAACUCCCGUUUUCACCCCAAAAUCU